CCUACGGGAGGCAGCAGUGGGGGAUAUUGCACAAUGGGGGGAACCCUGAUGCAGCGACGCCGCGUGGGUGAAGAAGCGCCUCGGCGCGUAAAGCCCUGUCAGCAGGGAAGAAAAUGACGGUACCUGAAGAAGAAGCCACGGCUAACUACGUGCCAGCAGCCGCGGUAAUACGGAGGGGGCAAGCGUUAUCCGGAUUUACUGGGUGUAAAGGGGGCGCAGACGGCGAUGCAAGCCAGGAGUGAAAGCCCGGGGCCCAACCCCGGGACUGCUCUUGGAACUGCGUGGCUGGAGGGCAGGAGGGGCAGGCGGAAUUCCUGGUGUAGCGGUGAAAUGCUUAGAUAUCAGGAGGAACCCCGGUGGCGACGGCGGCCUGCUGGACUGCACCUGCCGUUGAGGCCCGACCGCGUGGGGAGCACACAGGAUUAGAUACCCCUGUAGUC
Molecule: ribosomal RNA, 440 nt
Filed under: uncultured bacterium
Lineage: Bacteria
Description: partial 16S ribosomal RNA
Rfam family: Bacterial small subunit ribosomal RNA
Source: RNAcentral